UACGUAGGGUGCAAGCGUUGUCCGGAAUUAUUGGGCGUAAAGAGCUCGUAGGCGGUCUGUCGCGUCUGCUGUGAAAACCUAGGGCUUAACCCUGGGCCUGCAGUGGGUACGGGCAGACUAGAGUGCGGUAGGGGAGACUGGAAUUCCUGGUGUAGCGGUGAAAUGCGUAGAUAUCGGGAGGAACACCCGUGGCGAAGGCGGCUCUCUGGCCUGUAACUGACGCUGAGGCGCGAAAGCGUGGGGAGCAAACAGG
Molecule: ribosomal RNA, 253 nt
Filed under: uncultured bacterium
Lineage: Bacteria
Description: partial 16S ribosomal RNA
Rfam family: Bacterial small subunit ribosomal RNA
Source: RNAcentral